AGGCAAGAUGGAGGCAUAGCUGCAUUGUAAUAUCACAGCUGUACCUCAUCGAGCCAAC
This 58-nucleotide microRNA precursor is filed under the name Limulus polyphemus (Atlantic horseshoe crab). RNAcentral's name for it is "Lpo-Mir-31-P14_pre stem-loop". Lineage: Eukaryota; Metazoa; Arthropoda; Merostomata; Xiphosura; Limulidae. The record is from RNAcentral.